RNAcentral lists this ribosomal RNA (253 nucleotides) under uncultured bacterium. RNAcentral describes it as "partial 16S ribosomal RNA". It matches the Rfam family "Bacterial small subunit ribosomal RNA", at positions 524 to 776 of the family's 1533-position model. The record is from RNAcentral.
UACGGAGGGUGCAAACGUUGUCCGGAAUCACUGGGCGUAAAGCGCAUGUAGGUGGCUAAGUAAGUGGAUGAUUAAAGACCGAUGCUUAACAUCGGGCCGGUUGUCUAUACUGCUUGGCUUGAGAGUGACAGGGGUAAGCGGAACUUUAGGUGUAGGAGUGAAAUCCGUAGAUAUCUAAAGGAACACCAAUGGCGAAGGCAGCUUACUGGGUCAUUUCUGACACUGAGAUGCGAAAGCGUGGGGAGCGAACGGG